GCUGGCGGCAGGCCUAACACAUGCAAGUCGAACGUGAAGCUGGAGCUUGCUCCAGUGGAAAGUGGCAGACGGGUGAGUAACGCGUGGGAAUUUACCCAGUGGUACGGAAUAACUCAGGGAAACUUGUGCUAAUACCGUAUACGCCCUUCGGGGGAAAGAUUUAUCGCCAUUGGAUGAGCCCGCGUUAGAUUAGUUUGUUGGUGGGGUAAUGGCCUACCAAGACUACGAUCUAUAGCUGGUCUGAGAGGAUGAUCAGCCACACUGGGACUGAGACACGGCCCAGACUCCUACGGGAGGCAGCAGUGGGGAAUAUUGCACAAUGGGCGAAAGCCUGAUGCAGCCAUGCCGCGUGAGUGAAGAAGGCCUUAGGGUUGUAAAACUCUUUCACCGGUGAAGAUAAUGACGGUAGCCGGAGAAGAAGCCCCGGCUAACUCCGUGCCAGCAGCCGCGGUAAUACGGAGGGGGCUAGCGUUGUUCGGAAUUACUGGGCGUAAAGCGCGCGUAGGCGGAUUGGUCAGUUGGGGGUGAAAUCCCGAGGCUUAACCUCGGAACUGCCCUCAAUACUGCCAGUCUAGAGUUCGGAAGAGGUAAGUGGAAUUCCUAGUGUAGAGGUGAAAUUCGUAGAU
Molecule: ribosomal RNA, 626 nt
Filed under: uncultured Alphaproteobacteria bacterium
Lineage: Bacteria; Pseudomonadati; Pseudomonadota; Alphaproteobacteria
Description: bacterial SSU rRNA
Rfam family: Bacterial small subunit ribosomal RNA
Source: RNAcentral